Molecule: unclassified non-coding RNA, 377 nt
Filed under: uncultured Chlamydiales bacterium
Lineage: Bacteria; Pseudomonadati; Chlamydiota; Chlamydiia; Chlamydiales
Description: contains 16S-23S intergenic spacer region
Source: RNAcentral
UCCUAGUUAACCUAGGCAGUCUUGUUAGAGUUCCCAUCCGAAAUGUUGGCAACUAACAAUAAGGGUUGCGCUCGUUGCGGGACUUAACCCAACACCUCACGGCACGAGCUGACGACAGCCAUGCAGCACCUGUACAAAGACCCUUGCGGGAAAUAACAUCUCUGUUAUCGUCCUCUGUAUGUCAAACCUGGGUAAGGUUCUUCGCGUUGCAUCGAAUUAAACCACAUGCUCCACUGCUUGUGCGGGCCCCCGUCAAUUCUUUUGAGUUUUAUCCUUGCGGACGUACUCCUCAGGCGGCAUACUUAACGCGUUCGCUCCGACACAGCCAGGGUUGAGCCCAGCUACAUCAAGUAUGCAUCGUUUACGGCAAGGACUAC